This is a long non-coding RNA of Macadamia integrifolia, 440 nucleotides long. RefSeq lists it as uncharacterized. The transcript is spliced from 2 exons. The record is from RefSeq and is a predicted model, not a curated record. Lineage: Eukaryota; Viridiplantae; Streptophyta; Magnoliopsida; Proteales; Proteaceae.
UUUUCAGGUUGGGGGAAGUGCCAGUUUCCAUCAAAAAGCUCUGUGGCAGUCAAUGGGAGCUUUGGUGGAACAGCUCAGACGGGACCCAUGGGAUAUGAUUUCAGUGGUGAUAAGGCUGUCGGCAGAUGGAGUCGGACCCUAGUCAUCACACCCUUGGUUUUCACCUCUACACUACUAGCCUUCCAAUUGUGAUGCAGAGAGAGAGAGAGAGAGAGAGAGAGAGAGAGAGCGUAUAUCCUUCCUCUGUAUGUUCCAGAAUUCUAUUUGUUUGUAGGUAGGUAUUACAAGUUAGAAACAUGGGCUCCAACACUUCCAAAGCAAGCCAAAUUGCUUGUGAUUUCAGGUUUGUUUGUGCAGCUUUACUCUGAUUACACUAAUGUAAUACCCUCUUGGGGUCAUUUACUUAUUUAAUUUCAAAGUCAGCGAUCAAUUUCUGUUUA